This 1006-nucleotide ribosomal RNA is filed under the name Halomonas fontilapidosi. Its description in RNAcentral is "bacterial SSU rRNA". It matches the Rfam family "Bacterial small subunit ribosomal RNA", at positions 46 to 1052 of the family's 1533-position model. The record is from RNAcentral. Lineage: Bacteria; Pseudomonadati; Pseudomonadota; Gammaproteobacteria; Oceanospirillales; Halomonadaceae.
GUUUGAUCAUGGCUCAGUGAAGUCCUAACAGGGUAACCGACUAGAGUUUGAUCAUGGCUCAUUGAAGUCCUAACAAGGUAACCGACUGGGGUUUGAUCUGGGGAAACUCAAGCUAAUACCGGGUACCCCCCACGGGGGAAAGCAGGGGAUCUUCGGACCUUGCGCUAUCGGAUGAGCCUAUGUCGGAUUAGCUUGUUGGUGAGGUAAUGGCUCACCAAGGCGACGAUCCGUAGCUGGUCUGAGAGGAUGAUCAGCCACAUCGGGACUGAGACACGGCCCGAACUCCUACGGGAGGCAGCAGUGGGGAAUAUUGGACAAUGGGCGAAAGCCUGAUCCAGCCAUGCCGCGUGUGUGAAGAAGGCUUUCGGGUUGUAAAGCACUUUCAGUGAGGAAGAAGGCCUUGGGGCUAAUACCCCCGAGGAAGGACAUCACUCACAGAAGAAGCACCGGCUAACUCCGUGCCAGCAGCCGCGGUAAUACGGAGGGUGCAAGCGUUAAUCGGAAUUACUGGGCGUAAAGCGCGCGUAGGCGGCUUGAUAAGCCGGUUGUGAAAGCCCCGGGCUCAACCUGGGAACGGCAUCCGGAACUGUCAGGCUAGAGUGCAGGAGAGGAAGGUAGAAUUCCCGGUGUAGCGGUGAAAUGCGUAGAGAUCGGGAGGAAUACCAGUGGCGAAGGCGGCCUUCUGGACUGACACUGACGCUGAGGUGCGAAAGCGUGGGUAGCAAACAGGAUUAGAUACCCUGGUAGUCCACGCCGUAAACGAUGUCGACUAGCCGUUGGGGUCCUAGAGACCUUUGUGGCGCAGUUAACGCGAUAAGUCGACCGCCUGGGGAGUACGGCCGCAAGGUUAAAACUCAAAUGAAUUGACGGGGGCCCGCACAAGCGGUGGAGCAUGUGGUUUAAUUCGAUGCAACGCGAAGAACCUUACCUACCCUUGACAUCGUGCGAACUUGGUAGAGAUACCUUGGUGCCUUCGGGAGCGCACAGACAGGUGCUGCAUGGCUGU